CCUAGAGGGGGGUGAAUAGGUGUAACGGCCAAAAACCACAAAUCUUAAUGCAAUAAAAGUAAAUGCGGAAAAUAAAAAUCACACCGAGAUUUACGUGGAAAAACUCCAACUUGGAGUAAAAAAUCCAUGGGACCAACACGCGAAAAAAUAAUUCACUAAGAGAAAAGAUUAUAAGGGAUUACUGACUCCACGGACUCGACCUCUCUUAACCUCCUAUGAAUCUCGCGCAAUCCUCCGAGUUGUCCAUGCCCUCACGUUCGAAUUCACGAACGUCUCACUCACGUCCGAAUCUACGAACGCCACUCGAAUCCACGAGCCCACGAUCCAAAUCCACAGACCGCCUUCGUUCACGCCGAAUCCACGACGUCGUCCAUGAAAAACAUCAUGCUAUGGUGAUCCUUCGCUUAGCAUAUCGAUGAAGAACCAGAGACAAAACUCUAAGCGAAGUCUUAGAUCAAUUCGACAUAUAGAUCUCAAAUUACGAUAUCUCGAAUUGACCUAAAACAGGUCAUUUUGUAGAAAAUAAGUUUUGGACGAAAUCCUAACCAAUAGGGUUUCUCAAGCAUGUAUUCUCGUGAUACUUAAUGAGUUAGAGAACCCUAAUAUCUUAUUUAUAGACUUUAGAAUCAAUUAGAGUCGGAUUAGAAAGUUUUUAGAUUUUUACACCUGGUACCGGUACUAAAUCAAGUUGUUACCAGUUACAAAAAGGACGACACAGAAAACUACUUCAAUAUUGAUAACCGGUUACAAUGUCAAUGUUGUAUCGGAAUCAAGUUAGUACCGGUACUCUUUCAAUGCUGUACCGGUACAAUAUACAAAUUUUCAGCAAAACUUGAUUUCGGGUUUCAUAAAGUUCCGAAGCACUUUCUAAUCCACUAAACUUUGAUUUUCAUAAUUCUAAUGUCUAUAACUAAGUAUGAAUCAUCAUAACAUGAAUUAAAAGCUUACUUGAGCAUCGUGAUUCAUGUCGUGAGUUAUUUCUGAUUUUUCCAAAGUCUUGGAUUCUUCGAUCUUCGAACGAUAUGCACCGAUCCUUCAAGACUCCGACUCAAUUCACGAAACUUGCCAACACAUAAUACUUAACAAUCUCCCCAUUUGGCAAUUUUGUGACAAAACACAAAAACUCAAAAAAAAAAUCUUAAAAGAAAAAACGAAGUUCAAUGUCAUCACCAAAACACCGAACCCCUCGCGUGUAAUCCAAAUACAAUGUGAAAUUCAAAAAUACAUCAAAUCUCCUAAAACAGACUCUACGACUUAGACGCAACUAGUAGUCUUAAAGUCUUGAUUUCCUACAAAACAAAUUAUCCAAAAACAAUGUAGAAAUUUGAAACCAUUGGAUUCUUAUUAUACCUUCAAGUCAUUGUCGAUGUCGAAAUUUCAUUCCUUCUCCCCCUUUGUUCUUGAAGUCUUUUCCUGCUUUGAUCAAAACCUGUCCAUCUAUGUUCUCCCCCUUUUUGUCAAAAAUUGCCAAAACAAUGCAUAUAGAGAGAAAAGAUACUAGAAAGCAGGAAAGUAGUCAUGUCAUAGUUACAACCCUAAAGAGAAAUGCAAAGACAAGCAAUGAUAAACUAAAACAUCGUCCUAAAAGAAAGACAAAAACAAACUAAGUGCGAAGAUGAAAUCAGUCGGUGUCCUCCUCAUCAUCAUCAUCUCCAGCUCCCUCUCCUCCUACGUCUGGUGUACUAGUGGAAGGUGGUAUAAGUGGAUGUGUCGAUGUCGACCUGGUAUAGGUAGGAAAUACAUCGUCGUGUCGACAUCCAAGCUUCUCCCAAAUUCUCUUCAUCCCUUCUUCCAACUUUUUAAACCUUUCUUAAUAGAAUGCACCUCACGGUGAAGUGACUCUACAGUAAUCACUCCCCCUGAACUCGAAGAUCCCUCAGCCUCUGCACGACGUGGAGGUGCGGAACUAGAAGCUGCUCUCGAAGAUCCCUUCGUCUACUGAAAAGUCUUCAAUGUGCUCACUGACUUGGCCCAUGUCACUCGAUCAAUCGGUCCAAGGCCAUAGUCAUAUUUCUCACACGUCACGUCUACUCCAUUUUCUUGCAAAAUUCGUGUGAUCAACAUAGGAAAUGGAAGUAGCUCACGUUGUCCCGAAGAUUGUAUCACGUGCACCAUUCAUUGCCAUAUAAGAAAAUGAAUGUUGAGAUUCAAACCAUCUGCAAGCUCAGGAUGGCCAAGUAGAUAUAGAAGAACAAGCCGAUCCCAGCAAAUCCUCUUAGUCCCAAUAGUCGAUUGAACAUUGUAACAAAGCACCAAGGACAAAAGGUGAUACUCCGGCUUCAAGUCCUUCGAUUCUACAUAAGCAUGGUUUGUCCUCGUUCCAUCUUUGCAAAUAGCACGAAUAACUGUGCCCCAGUGAGAUGAAGACUGAUAAAUCCCUGUAAUGAAGACCCGUGGUAUCGACAUUCAACCCCAAAAGCUCACCAACUGUGUGUGGGGUAACAAGAAUCCUCUGCUGACGUACAUAUGUCUCGAAUAAGUACGUGUCGGUCUCCUCAUCCACUGCAAGAACCUUUCCAUACAUGUAAAACUCCCAAAUGAGUUCCACACAAAAAGGUGAACGUGCCGGAACCCGUCCAACGGGCUCGAUAGGAGCUCUCUGCAGUAAACGCCCAAAGUCUGGAACCUCCUGAACAAGCUCCUUGAAAUUCACAUAACGUUCCCCAAGGCACGAUCUGCUUGAGAAUGCUUUUCGCCGCUCCGUUUGAACCUCUGCAGCGUGCUUUGAGCGACUUUCACGGCCACGAGCUCCACCUUCGCAUAUCACAGGGCCACCUGUGCUUUGCCUAGGAGGAGAACCCUUUUUCUUACAUGAGGUUUCAGCAGCUAUCCGUUUGCCUUUGUCGGUUCGAACAACUGUUUCUUCAGCCUCCUCGUGGGAGCUAGCCCGAUAAUCUGGAUCAGAAUCUGACGACUCGUCGACAGUACGAGUCCUCUUAGAAGCCCCACGACGGCCUCUACCGCGACCAUGACCAUGACCACUUCCCGUGGCCAUAAGCACCAAUAGAGCCAAAAGCAGUGAAAAUGCCAUUUUCCUACAAAAACAGACCUUGCAUGAAUAAAAUCUGUAAAAAUAGCAAAAAAAAUUAUAAUAAUCUUAGAAUGCAUAACUACACUAUUUUUAACUAAUUCGAGCAAGAUUUAUCAUAAAAAGUGGCAUUUAACAUGUAAUCCCGAAAAUUUGUAUAUAAUAAGGUAUAGAUCAUAGAUCAGCAAAAAAAAUGCAAUAUGUCAUGAUCUAAGUGUUCUAGAAGUGAGAAUAUAUGUAUAUAAACUGAUUCAAGGCAAAAAAUUGCAACAAAAACGGUUCAAAACUGAGAUCGAGCUUCGUCUUAGAUUUCGUUCGAAAAACAGCAAGAACGGGAGAAAAUGAUUAAAUCCGAGGAAGAUACUUACAAAUCGUUGAUGGAAACACGUGGAUCUGGAGGAGAAGAUCACCUGGGAACUUUAGAGAGCGAAAGAGAGAGAUUUGGUUGUGAUUUGAAAGAGAAACGAAAACCUGUAACCGGUUUAUAAAAUGCGGUCUACAGUACUGGUACCGGUACACGAUCUAGUACCGGUAUCGGUUCACAGAUUUCGAAAAAUUUUUCUUAGAAAGCUUCAUAAUUAAAUUAAAUUUAUAAAAAUUAAGGAUUGUACUCCAAAAAUCAUUAUAAUGAAAAUAAAAUAUUAUAAGAUUUCCAAAUUUAUCUAAACAUCAAAAUUUUGUUAUAAAAAAUAACCUAAUGAUUUAAAAUCAUCAAGAUGUAACGGUUAAUGAAAAAUGAUUUAAAGAAAUUCGGCAAAAUUGACAUCAAUUUGUCGCAACUCGUUCAAAAUAGAGAUUUAACCAAUAAAACACAGGGGGUGGCUCUUUGAGUAUCUUUUCAUCCUACUACCUUAUAACUCCGAAAAAUCUAAAAUAUUCAAAAUUUUCAACUUUUUCGGCUAUUCAAUUAAUUUCCAUGUGGUUGCUUCACACACUUACCGGACGACCGGGGUGGUAGCUCUUUCCUAUAUGUCGUGGUAGUUUUCACACUCCUUUUGGAUGUAACUCUUUCCACAUCUUUUAAACAUAAGAGUUUUUUUCUUUUCUUUUUUUAAAUCAUCAUUUUUUUUAAAAAAAAAUAUCAAACUCCCCCUAAAUUAGACAAUCUCACAGUUGAAAGUAAUUUUGACAAAUUUUAAUCUAUUAGCGAAUAUCCAUUCAUCAUAUUCAACAUACACAACCAAGAUAGAUUAAUCGCCAAGAGAUCAAAAUUGAUUCCAUAAUUUGGAUGAAUAUAUGUAUUAAGAAAUCAUAUAAUAAAUUAUCGCCAAAAUAAUAAAAGUAGAGUAAAACCGAUAAUUAAUAUGAAUUUAACUCAAGAUGAAAAUGAAUUUGGUUAAGGUACUUUGAAAAAAUUUAAUCUCCCCAAAUUAAUGAUUUUAAAAACAUCAUCUCUCUCAAAAAUUUUUCAAAAUAUAAUUCCCAAUCAUCUUUCCAAACCGAUUCAAAACAAAUUUCAAGCAUUCAAAAAUCGUCUAAACAUGUAAUGUAAUGAAUAAAAUAUGCAAUAAGUACCAAUCAAAGCAUUACAUAUAUAAAAACAAACUAAGACGAAUUAAGAACAAGGAAAGAUAUCACCUUUCCGGAUCCAAACUUGUCGGAUCGUUGGUCGUCUUGGCUUGUCGAUGUUAGGCACAACUCGUUUUGACUUUUGAUCCACCGUUGGUUGCUUCGUUGCAUGAGACUUCGGUUGAAAUUGCCGUUGAAGCUUUGAAUUCCAGUUUGCUUGUUGUACUCGACUAGAUUGAGUUUGCUUUGAAUUCCGAUAGGGAUUAAAGGGUGCCAUCAGACGUUUAGAAGUUGCCGGUUGAUUUUUCUUAUUUUUGUUCGGGCAACUCUUUUUGAUAUGUCCUUUGAUGCCACAUCCAAGACACACCUUUUCUUUUGAAUUUGUUGAGAUAUUAGAAAUUUGCUUUAAAUCCUUCUCAACAUAAGUCCUCAUAUCUGAGGCCAAGCUUGUUCGUUUGACCCAAUCCGAGCAUGUGAUCCAAUUUCUUUGAUCCGGAAGAAAACUUUUGAACGUCGGAUUGAAGUUGACAAACUUGAUUGGUCAAGACUUGAUUGGAUGCGUGAAUUUCCUUGAAUUGAUGCUCCAAAAAUCCAAUCUUGUCUUUAGAAGAUUUAAUCAUUAAUUCCGCUUCAUCAAGCUUCUCUUGGAGGAUUGAAUUGUUCUUAAAAAAUGAUUCAUUUUCCUCCUCAAGAGCUUUGUUUAUAAUCUUCUCAUUCUUGUUCUCCUCUUCAAGUUCCAAUAAAUGCCUCCUCAACUUCUUAUUAUGCUUCGCCAUCUUCUUUGAUUUGAUAAGAAGUUGAUUGUACACUUCCGCUAAAUCCUCGUCGUUUGACUCCUCGCUCUCGUCAUCAUUGCUCAAAGUACCAUGCAAGGAAGGAGAAACACUAGAAUUAGAAACAAUUGAGGAUAAACAAACAACAUUAGACGAAGGCAAAGAAGUGUUAGUAAAUAAAGCAAGAUUUUCAUUCUUUUCUUCGUCAGUAAAUAAAGCAAGAUUUUCAUUCUUUUCUUCGUCACUUGGAGUUGAUUCAUCCGAAGUAGAAUCAUCCCAAGUUUUUACUUGCAAAACCUUUUGUUUAUAACUUUUCUUAGAAGGACAAUCCGUAGAAAUAUGGCCGUAGCCUUUACAUUUGUAACAUUGGAUUUUUCCUUCAAAUUCAUCUUUUUCUUUAGAAGGCUUUGGAAGUUUCUUAUUCUUAGAUUUUGAAUUCGAGGAAUGUUUAGAAAAAGAUUUUUGCUUCGAAGAUGAAGCAUUAUUCGAUUUGUUCUUCUUUCGGAGCGCUCCUAACUUCUUCGUUAGGAACGCCAAUUGAUAUUCAAAAUCCGCAAUUGAGAUCUCUCCGUCGGAACCCGAGUCCUCGUCUUCCUCCUUUGUCAAUUUCAAUGCAACCCCUGUACUUUUAGAGAAAAACUUGGAAGAAGAUUGGUUAGUAGGAAAAGUCAUCUCAUAAGUUUGUAAAGCACCUACUAACUCUUCGACUUUCAUCUCGUCCGGAUGCUUAACUGUUUCGAUUGCGGCAACUUUUGCCCUAAAGCGUUCUGGAAGAGUUCGAAGAAUUUUUCUAACAACUUUUGAUUCUGGGAUUUUUCUCUCUCAAGUUAGCACAAGUAUUAACAACAUCUUGAAGUCGCGUAUAGUACUCAGUAAAGGUCUCGUUUUCUUCCAUAAAAAUUGAGUAAAAUUUUCUCGUUAAUACUUGCAAUUUUUGGACCUUUACGAAGCUAGUUCCUUCAUGCGUAACUUGUAGAGUAUCCCAAAUCCCUUUGGUGGUUUCACACGCCGAAACGCGAGUAAACUCCGUUUGAGAUAAUGCAUUAAACAAAGCAUUUAUUCCUUUACCAUUGAACGAAGAUGACUCGUUUUCAUCUUUUGUCCACUUAUUUCUCAGUUUAGGGACGGUAGCAUUAUCGACGACUUCGGUGGGAUGUUUUCAUCAGAAUUCGAUUGAUUUCUAUACCCGCUCAUCGAUUGCGAUUAGAAAAGUUCUCAUGCGAAUCUUUCAAUAGGCAUAAUUUGUGCCAUCAAAGAGUGGUGGUCGAUUAAUGUUACCGUCUUCGGCCAUUAGAUAACAAUAUAUCUAGAUCCGGCUCUAAUACCAAUUGAGAGUUUUGAGGAGCCCAAGGAUCUAUCUAGAUUGUAUCAAACACCUAGAGGGGGGGUGAAUAGGUGUAACGGCCAAAAACCACAAAUCUCAAUGCGAUAAAAGUAAAUGCAGAAAAUAAAAAUCACACUGAGAUUUACGUGGGAAAACUCCAACUUGGAGUAAAAAACCCACAGGACCAAUACGCGAAAAAAUAAUUCACUAAGAGAAAAGAUUACAAGGUGAUUACCGACUCCACGGACUCGACCUCUCUUAACCUUCUAUGAAUCUCGCGCAAACCUCCGGGUUGUCCACGCCCACACGUUCGAAUCCACGAACGCCUCACUCACAUCCGAAUCCACGAACGCCACUCGAAUCCAUGAGCCCACGAUACGAAUCCACGAACCGCCUUCGUUCACGCCGAAUCCACGACGCCGUCCAUGAAGAACAUCAU
This 7073-nucleotide long non-coding RNA is filed under the name Ananas comosus (pineapple). RNAcentral describes it as "long non-coding RNA (ACOM_LNC020921)". Lineage: Eukaryota; Viridiplantae; Streptophyta; Magnoliopsida; Poales; Bromeliaceae. The record is from RNAcentral.